Molecule: unclassified non-coding RNA, 528 nt
Filed under: Hevea brasiliensis (rubber tree)
Lineage: Eukaryota; Viridiplantae; Streptophyta; Magnoliopsida; Malpighiales; Euphorbiaceae
Source: RNAcentral
UGGAUCACCUAAAAAAUACAUCAUCAUUCUUGCACACAAACCUGCGCUGGAUAAUUUUUGAUGAAGCAGACAGAAUUCUGGAGCUUGGAUAUGGUAAAGAGAUUGAAGACAUACUUAAUAUUCUGGGCUCAAAACAACAAAAAUCUGUUGGCAAGGGUAACACAACUUCACAGAUUUCUGAGGUUCAGAGACAAAAUGUGUUGUUAUCUGCUACAUUAAACGAGAAAGUAAAUCAUCUCGCGGAAAUUAGUUUAGAUAACCCCGUGAUGGUUGGGCUUGACAAGAAAAUAGAGCUACAAUUAACUCAUCAAGACGUCAAACCAAUGGAAUUUAAUGGGAAUGAUAUAUUAGGAAAAGAUGGCAAACUACUGAGCUCUUCAACUGAAGAAUAUAAGCUUCCGACUCAGCUACUUCAGAGAUAUAUUAAAGUCCCCUGUGGUUCACGGCUUGUAGUGCUUCUUGCAAUUCUAAAACAUCUGUUUGAGAAGGAACCUUCCCAGAAGGUUGUGGUGUUCUUUUCAACAUGUG